UCUUAGUGGCGGACGGGUGAGUAACGCGUGGGUAACCUGCCUUACACAGGGGGAUAACAGUUAGAAAUGACUGCUAAUACCGCAUAAGACCCCGGUACCGCAUGGUACAGAGGUAAAAACUGAGGUGGUGUAAGAUGGACCCGCGUCUGAUUAGGUAGUUGGUGAGGUAACGGCUCACCAAGCCGACGAUCAGUAGCCGGCCUGAGAGGGUGGACGGCCCACAUUGGGACUGAGACACGGCCCAGACUCCUACGGAAGGCAGCAG
Molecule: ribosomal RNA, 265 nt
Filed under: uncultured bacterium
Lineage: Bacteria
Description: partial 16S ribosomal RNA
Rfam family: Bacterial small subunit ribosomal RNA
Source: RNAcentral